ACGGGUGAGUAACGCGUGGGAACGUACCCUUUACUACGGAAUAACGCAUGGAAACGUGUGCUAAUACCGUAUGUGCCCUUUGGGGGAAAGAUUUAUCGGUAAAGGAUCGGCCCGCGUUGGAUUAGCUAGUUGGUGGGGUAAAGGCCUACCAAGGCGACGAUCCAUAGCUGGUCUGAGAGGAUGAUCAGCCACAUUGGGACUGAGACACGGCCCAAACUCCUACGGGAGGCAGCAGUGGGGAAUAUUGGACAAUGGGCGCAAGCCUGAUCCAGCCAUGCCGCGUGAGUGAUGAAGGCCCUAGGGUUGUAAAGCUCUUUCACCGGUGAAGAUAAUGACGGUAACCGGAGAAGAAGCCCCGGCUAACUUCGUGCCAGCAGCCGCGGUAAUACGAAGGGGGCUAGCGUUGUUCGGAUUUACUGGGCGUAAAGCGCACGUAGGCGGAUCGAUCAGUCAGGGGUGAAAUCCCAGAGCUCAACUCUGGAACUGCCUUUGAUACUGUCGAUCUGGAGUAUGGAAGAGGUGAGUGGAAUUCCGAGUGUAGAGGUGAAAUUCGUAGA
This 557-nucleotide ribosomal RNA is filed under the name uncultured bacterium. RNAcentral's name for it is "bacterial SSU rRNA". It matches the Rfam family "Bacterial small subunit ribosomal RNA", at positions 102 to 694 of the family's 1533-position model. The record is from RNAcentral.